CCCUUAGAUGUCCUGGGCCGCACGCGUGCUACACUGAUGCAUACAGCGAGCACUUCCCGGCCCCGAAAGGCGGCCGGUAAUCAGCAAUAUGCAUCGUGAUGGGGAUAGAUCUUUGGAAUUCUUGAUCUUGAACGAGGAAUGCCUAGUAGGCGCAGGUCAUUACCCUGCGUCGAUUAAGUCCCUGCCCUUUGUACACACCGCCCGUCGCUCCUACCGAUUCGAGUGAUCCGGUGAACCUUUUGGACCGAGACUGCUUGCAGACUUGGGAAAUCAAGUAAACCACGUCACUUAGAGGAAGGAGAAGUCGUAACA
This 312-nucleotide ribosomal RNA is filed under the name uncultured eukaryote. RNAcentral's name for it is "partial 18S ribosomal RNA". It matches the Rfam family "Eukaryotic small subunit ribosomal RNA", at positions 1470 to 1796 of the family's 1831-position model. The record is from RNAcentral.